GGUGACGCCAUUAAUCUCAGCGUCUCUUACGGAGACACAAAAAGUGAAGCGCCGGUGACGCUAUUAAUUCCUGCGUCUCUUUCACCCAUCAUUGAUUGCCGCUGCGUCUGGAAAAUAAGUAAGCUCGGAUCCUUCACCGGUGUUGGGUUACCGUAAUGAAAGGCUAAUUUAUUGCCGCUGACGCUGCGUCUAGCGGUUAUGAAACGAACAGGGCUAUU
Molecule: long non-coding RNA, 218 nt
Filed under: Brassica napus (rape)
Lineage: Eukaryota; Viridiplantae; Streptophyta; Magnoliopsida; Brassicales; Brassicaceae
Description: long non-coding RNA (BNAP_LNC004076)
Source: RNAcentral